RNAcentral lists this ribosomal RNA (429 nucleotides) under Gemmatimonadota bacterium. Its description in RNAcentral is "Gemmatimonadetes bacterium partial 16S ribosomal RNA". It matches the Rfam family "Bacterial small subunit ribosomal RNA", at positions 355 to 776 of the family's 1533-position model. The record is from RNAcentral. Lineage: Bacteria; Pseudomonadati; Gemmatimonadota.
UAGGGAAUCUUCGGCAAUGGACGAAAGUCUGACCGAGCAACGCCGCGUGAGUGAAGAAGGUUUUCGGAUCGUAAAACUCUGUUGUUAGAGAAGAACAAGGACGUUAGUAACUGAACGUCCCCUGACGGUAUCUAACCAGAAAGCCACGGCUAACUACGUGCCAGCAGCCGCGGUAAUACGUAGGUGGCAAGCGUUGUCCGGAUUUAUUGGGCGUAAAGCGAGCGCAGGCGGUUUCUUAAGUCUGAUGUGAAAGCCCCCGGCUCAACCGGGGAGGGUCAUUGGAAACGGGGAGACUUGAGUGCAGAAGAGGAGAAUGGAAUUCCAUGUGUAGCGGUGAAAUGCGUAGAUAUAUGGAGGAACACCAGUGGCGAAGGCGGCUCUCUGGUCUGUAACUGACGCUGAGGCUCGAAAGCGUGGGGAGCAAACAGG